AGAGCUUAUGAGGGGAAAUUUCAUCAAGGAUAGGCACACUAUUGUUCCCCAUCAUAAACGGCACUGCGUCAUCGAGUAUUCGAAUGCUAAAGCUGCCGUAGGCAUUGCACAAGGCGCUGGUCCAUCUUCUCAUUCAGACGACGAGGACGAGGAUGACGAGGCGGAGCCCACUGCUUCACCUGAGCUAGCCCUCACAUACCCUGAUGCACCACUCACACAACACCAUUUUGAU
Molecule: long non-coding RNA, 232 nt
Filed under: Salvia miltiorrhiza (redroot sage)
Lineage: Eukaryota; Viridiplantae; Streptophyta; Magnoliopsida; Lamiales; Lamiaceae
Description: long non-coding RNA (SMIL_LNC003199)
Source: RNAcentral